CAUAUCAAUAAGCGGAGGAAAAGAAACUAACAGGGAUUCCCCUAGUAACUGCGAGUGAAGCGGGAAAAGCUCAAAUUUAAAAUCUGGCAGCCUUUGGUUGUCCGAGUUGUAAUCUAGAGAAGUGUUAUCCGCGCUGGACCGUGUACAAGUCUCCUGGAAUGGAGCGUCAUAGAGGGUGAGAAUCCCGUCUUUGACACGGACUGCCAGGGCUUUGUGAUGCGCUCUCAAAGAGUCGAGUUGUUUGGGAAUGCAGCUCAAAAUGGGUGGUAAAUUCCAUCUAAAGCUAAAUAUUGGCGAGAGACCGAUAGCGAACAAGUACCGUGAGGGAAAGAUGAAAAGAACUUUGGAAAGAGAGUUAAACAGUACGUGAAAUUGCUGAAAGGGAAACGCUUGAAGUCAGUCGCGUUGUCCAGGGAUCAACCUUGCUUUUGCUUGGUGCACUUUCUGGUUGACGGGUCAGCAUCAAUUUUGACUAUUGGAAAAAGAUUAGGGGAAUGUGGCAUCUUUGGAUGUGUUAUAGCCCUUAGUUGCAUACAAUGGUUGGGAUUGAGGAACUCAGCACGCCGCAAGGCCGGGUUUUUAACCACGUACGUGCUUAGGAUGCUGGCAUAAUGGCUUUAAUCGACCCGUCUUGAAACACGGACCAAGGAGUCUAACAUGCCUGCGAGUGUUUGGGUGGAAAACCCGAGCGCGUAAUGAAAGUGAAAGUUGAGAUCCCUGUCGUGGGGAGCAUCGACGCCCGGACCAGACCUUUUGUGACGGUUCCGCGGUAGAGCAUGUAUGUUGGGACCCGAAAGAUGGUGAACUAUGCCUGAAUAGGGUGAAGCCAGAGGAAACUCUGGUGGAGGCUCGUAGCGAUUCUGACGUGCAAAUCGAUCGUCAAAUUUGGGUAUAGGGGCGAAAGACUAAUCGAACCAUCUAGUAGCUGG
Molecule: ribosomal RNA, 929 nt
Filed under: Cortinarius sp. PDD 87269
Lineage: Eukaryota; Fungi; Basidiomycota; Agaricomycetes; Agaricales; Cortinariaceae
Description: partial large subunit ribosomal RNA
Rfam family: Eukaryotic large subunit ribosomal RNA
Source: RNAcentral